UGGGUAUAAAUAUAAAAAAAUGACACCGCUUUUCAUUAUAGUGAUUUAUUCAUUCAUUCAUGUUUUCAAAUUUUGACACCACUUACCAAAACAUCCUGCGUACGCCCCUGCCCCUGCCCCUAGUGGAGUAUGUUUACGGUAUCAAGUUAAAGACUCGAUAGCUAAAGUCAACAAUGAUUGAAACCCUAGGACAAUAAACAAAGUUUCUGCAAAAAAAGGGGGCAAGAACACAAACCUUAGUAAUAGACUUCUGGGCAGCUAAUGAAGUAACUGUCUGUUUAACCUCUGUAGAAAGAACCAUGCGAAAUUUCCAGUUAAAAUAUACAUUAGUAGAAUGCAAUCACUAGAUAUGUGAACUCAAAAUAGAUAUGCCAUAACACACACACACACAAAAAAAAAAAAAAGGAGACAUCUAUUAGACAAAAUCGAGUAUAAGGUCAAGAAAAUUACUAGCAUAAAACUCGAGCUUCUUUUCGAAUUUACGUUCAGCUCGAGCGGCUGCAUCUCCGCUGAAAUACAAAAAAGCGAAGAAAAAUUAGAGAGUGAGAGAGAAAAACUAAGGGUAAUAGAUAAUACAAAGCUUAAUUAAGAGUACUAGUAUUUAAGAUCUGACCGUGAGGCUGUCUUCCCCAUGCUUGACGGGGUAGUAAGAGCAGCGGCCUUUGCUCUUGAAAAGCUAGGGCAAGAAUAUUUAUUGCUAAUUUAAUGAAGAUAGCGAUUGGCAAGAAGAAGGUUGAAAGCCUGAAGGCUGCUGUAGUAGACGAUGAAGAUUGGGAACUCUUAACUGAUGAAAAGAUGGAAGCCUAAUGUCCAAUCUCAU
RNAcentral lists this long non-coding RNA (820 nucleotides) under Nicotiana tabacum (common tobacco). Its description in RNAcentral is "long non-coding RNA (NTAB_LNC008248)". Lineage: Eukaryota; Viridiplantae; Streptophyta; Magnoliopsida; Solanales; Solanaceae. The record is from RNAcentral.